RNAcentral lists this non-coding RNA (27 nucleotides) under Homo sapiens (human). The record is from RNAcentral. Lineage: Eukaryota; Metazoa; Chordata; Mammalia; Primates; Hominidae.
UCCCUCUGUUGUGUGCUGUCACUCGAU